Molecule: ribosomal RNA, 412 nt
Filed under: uncultured soil bacterium
Lineage: Bacteria
Description: bacterial SSU rRNA
Rfam family: Bacterial small subunit ribosomal RNA
Source: RNAcentral
AGAUUGAACGCUGGCGGCAUGCCUAACACAUGCAAGUCGAACGGGAGUAGCAAUACUCUAGUGGCGGACGGGUGAGGAAUACGUAGGAAUUUGCCCUUAAGUGGGGGAUAACCCGGGGAAACCCGGAUUAAUACCGCAUGACCUCGAAAGAGCAAAGUGGGGGAUCGCAAGACCUCACGCUUUUGGAGAAGCCUACGUCGGAUUAGCUAGUUGGUGAGGUAAUGGCUCACCAAGGCGACGAUCCGUAACUGGUCUGAGAGGAUGAUCAGUCACACCGGAACUGAGACACGGUCCGGACUCCUACGGGAGGCAGCAGUGGGGAAUAUCGGACAAUGGGCGCAAGCCUGAUCCAGCAAUGCCGCGUGUGUGAAGAAGGCCUUCGGGUGUAAGCGACUUUAAGUUGGGAAGAAAA